This 30-nucleotide ribosomal RNA is filed under the name Tulasnella sp. 7 MM-2012. Its description in RNAcentral is "partial 18S ribosomal RNA". Lineage: Eukaryota; Fungi; Basidiomycota; Agaricomycetes; Cantharellales; Tulasnellaceae. The record is from RNAcentral.
UCCGUAGGUGAACAUGCGGAAGGAUCAUAG